UGGGGAAUAUUGCACAAUGGGCGAAAGCCUGAUGCAGCGACGCCGCGUGAGUGAAGAAGUAUUUCGGUAUGUAAAGCUCUAUCAGCAGGGAAGAAAAUGACGGUACCUGACUAAGAAGCCCCGGCUAACUACGUGCCAGCAGCCGCGGUAAUACGUAGGGGGCAAGCGUUAUCCGGAUUUACUGGGUGUAAAGGGAGCGUAGACGGCGAAGCAAGUCUGAAGUGAAAACCCAGGGCUCAACCCUGGGACUGCUUUGGAAACUGUUUUGCUAGAGUGUCUGAGAGGUAAGUGGAAUUCCUAGUGUAGCGGUGAAAUGCGUAGAUAUUAGGAGGAACACCAGUGGCGAAGGCGGCUUACUGGACGAUAACUGACGUUGAGGCUCGAAAGCGUGGGGAGCAAACAGG
RNAcentral lists this ribosomal RNA (404 nucleotides) under Fusobacteriota bacterium. Its description in RNAcentral is "Fusobacteria bacterium partial 16S ribosomal RNA". It matches the Rfam family "Bacterial small subunit ribosomal RNA", at positions 355 to 776 of the family's 1533-position model. The record is from RNAcentral. Lineage: Bacteria; Fusobacteriati; Fusobacteriota.